Long non-coding RNA from Oreochromis niloticus (Nile tilapia), 350 nucleotides. RefSeq lists it as uncharacterized. Lineage: Eukaryota; Metazoa; Chordata; Actinopteri; Cichliformes; Cichlidae. The record is from RefSeq and is a predicted model, not a curated record. The transcript has 3 exons.
ACUCACAUUUCACCGAUAACACCGUUAUCUUCUCUUGUUCUUAAGCUUUACAUAAUUCAAAAUUUGAAUGUUUAAAUAGGCUUGUGGGGCUGCUUACUGGGGGUUGGUCUAAUUUUUCCCUUUAAAAAUCUUCCAUCUGACUCUUCAUUGCACUGGCACCUACAACCAGAACACACUGGGAGAACAACGGAGGACAGCAACAGUGUCCAUCUGACAUCAGUCACUUCAGGUCUCUUCUUCCUUUGGGCAGCAGCUGUGAAGAUGGCUGGUCCUUACUGGGUUUCUGUAGCAGUCGUUUUUUUGAUGAUUGUUAGAAACAGUUUGAGUGCUUUGGACCAACACCAACUUGC